AUUGAACGCUGGCGGCAGGCCUAACACAUGCAAAUCGAGCGGAUGAAGGGAGCUUGCUCCUGGAUUCAGCGGCGGACGGGUGAGUAAUGCCUAGGAAUCUGCCUGGUAGUGGGGGAUAACGUCCGGAAACGGGCGCUAAUACCGCAUACGUCCUGAGGGAGAAAGUGGGGGAUCUUCGGACCUCACGCUAUCAGAUGAGCCUAGGUCGGAUUAGCUAGUUGGUGGGGUAAAGGCCUACCAAGGCGACGAUCCGUAACUGGUCUUAGAGGAUGAUCAGUCACACUGGAACUGAGACACGGUCCAGACUCCUACGGGAGGCAGCAGUGGGGAAUAUUGGACAAUGGGCGAAAGCCUGAUCCAGCCAUGCCGCGUGUGUGAAGAAGGUCUUCGGAUUGUAAAGCACUUUAAGUUGGGAGGAAGGGCAGUAAGUUAAUACCUUGCUGUUUUGACGUUACCAACAGAAUAAGCACCGGCUAACUUCGUG
Molecule: ribosomal RNA, 484 nt
Filed under: uncultured bacterium
Lineage: Bacteria
Description: partial 16S ribosomal RNA
Rfam family: Bacterial small subunit ribosomal RNA
Source: RNAcentral